Long non-coding RNA from Capsicum annuum, 5580 nucleotides. RefSeq lists it as uncharacterized. NCBI's taxonomy places the organism in Eukaryota, Viridiplantae, Streptophyta, Magnoliopsida, Solanales, Solanaceae. The transcript has 2 exons. The record is from RefSeq and is a predicted model, not a curated record.
UAUAAUCUCUCUCCUUAUUCUCCAUAUUCUCUCUUAUUCUUCCUCUAUUUUGUAACUCUCUUAAUAGAACAAUAACAUGAUCUGAUUUAGGUUAUGGUAUCAGAAUACAUGAGCUUUGAAUCAAAUCUUCAUCUUCUUCUUCUUCGAUUCCAUAUUUCAAUUAUGUUUUUCCUAAUUCUUAAUGAUAAUUCCUCUAAAUGUCUAUAGAAAUUGAAUUCUUGAAGAAAUCAUCAAGUUUUAAUGGCAACUAAUAAUCAUGCUAAUUCAAAUUUCAACAAUAAUGAAAGUGGUUCAGGAUCUCUAGAAAGGAAUCCAGCUCUCAUUGUUGAUGAAAAUCAUCCUCUCUUUUUGCAUCCUACUGAUGUAAGUGGCACCCCUCUUAUCUUUAUUCAGUUGACUGGUACAGAGAAUUACUCUCCUUGGUGUAGAUCAAUACGUAUUGGUUGGUUAGAAAGAAACAAGCUAGGCUUUAUUGAUAGAACACUAAAGAAAGAGAGUUUUAGGGAAGAGCUUUGGCCACAGUGGGAGAGGGUUAAUGUUGUGGUACUUUCUUGGUUAAUGAAUACUGUAUCUACUUAUCUACUUAGUGGUGUUUUUUAUGCUUCUAAUGCAUGAGGCAUUAGUUGUUUGGGAAGCAUUAAAAGAAAUAUUUGACAAAGUAAAUGGCUCAAGAACUUUAAUCUACACCGUGAAAUUACUACCCUUAGUCAGGGUACUUCCUCUAUGGCUGUGUAUUACUAACUUGAAGAAUGCUUGAAAUGAAUUUGAGUCACUAGUACCCUCUCGUGGAUGUGAUUGUGAAAGAUCCAGAGAUUUCUUGGCCUAUUUGCAAAGACAAAAAUUGUAUUAGUUUUUGAUGGGACUAAAUGACUCUUACUUACAAGACAGAAGUCAGAUAUUGCUCAUGACUCCACUACCUAGUGUAAACCAGGGCUAUGCCAUGAUUAUGAAUGAUGAAGGACAAAAGAUUAUGAUCUCUUCUUCUACUGGUGUUUUUGGUGCAGCACCAUCCACCAGUUAUGAUCCUACUAGUUUCUACACUAAAAUUGAUACUCAAAGUUAUCAGAAAUUCAAGAAAGACUACUCUAUUCAGUGUGACUACUGUAAAAUAAAGGUUCUUCUUAAGAAGCAUUGUUAUAGGUUAGUUCGAUAUCCUCCAAGUUUCAAUAAAAAGAAGAGUAUUCUAGGGGAAAUUCUGGUAGUGCUUAUAGUGUUCAACUUAAUGGUUCUUAUGCUAUACCUUCUUAUAGUGUACAAGGUUAAAAAAACCUACUGCAAGACACAUCUUAUGACUUAGGUUUACAAGGUUCAUUUGUAUAUUUAGUCAAUGAUAAUAAGGUUGUGGCAAAUGUGUCUGGUCUAUAUCAAAAUGGCUCAUGGUGAAAGUCAACCGGGAACUUGUGUGUUUACUAAAUUUUAGUAUGAAUAGAUUCUACAAGUGAUCAACAAGUCCAACACCUCAGGUAGAGUAAAUAUGGUGAACAUAUAUGCUGCAGGUAGAAAUAAGGGUAUAUGUAUACACAUUGAUAGUAGUAUCAGUAAUGCUUUUCUAGUGUCAAGUAAUAGCAUAAAUUGCAUAAUUGACACUGGUGCUACUAGUCAUAUGGUGUCUGAUAUAAUAACAUGUUAGACAAAAACACUAUAACUGAAAAUGUUAGUCCCAAAAAGGUUAAUCUUUCAAAUGGUGAUACUUCACUUAUUACAUAUAUUGGUCACUGUUCAAUUUCCACAAGAAGCACACUUAAGGAUGUCUUUCAGUUACCACAGUUCAAAUACAAUUUGCUAUUAGUUUCCAAGGUAACUAAAGAACUACACUGUGGUGUCUACUUUUAUUUCGACUUUUGUAUUUUUUAGGAUCUCUCAAGUGAGAAGGUGUAGGAGAAUGGUAUGGUGAAAGAUGUUCUAGACUUUCUUAAUCAGUCUCUACUUAGUCAAAGCUUUACCACGAGUGAUGCAAUAAAUUUUUCACAAGUUACAACUUCUAAUGCUUAGGUUUCAACCACUCUUAAUCAAUCAGAUAUUAGUUCGUAGCACAAAAGAUUUGGUCAUGUGUCAUCUUCUAUUUUGAAUAAGUUGUUCUAACAAACUUAAUAGUAUAGUUGAGACCAUAAACAACUGUCCUAUUUGUUCUAGUGCUAACAAGCUACACAUCAUUUUCUAGCUAGUAGUAUUCAAUCUAAUUCUUGCUUUGAUCUUGUUUAUAUGGACAUAUAGGGUCCUUAAAAACCCUAUUGUUAAUGAAAAUAAAUACUUUCUUUCUAUUAUUGAUGACUAUACUAGAAUAACUUAGAUUUAUCUUCUAAAACUUAAGUCUAAUGCUUAUGUAGCUAUUAAGUACUUCCUUACUUUUGUAAAAACUCAAUUCAAUAAGGUUGUUAAGAUACACAGAACAUAUAAUGGAUCUGAAUUUGUUAAUGAAGUCUAUAGUAAUAUGUUUAAAAUAUCAGGUAUAAUUCAUUAAAGGUCAUGUGUUUAUUCUUCUCAACAAAUUGGUCUUGCUGAGAGAAAGCACAAGCACAUACUAGAAGAACAAGAGCCUUAAGACUCCAGGCUAACAUACCUAUAGAGCUUUGGGGACAUUGCAUCCUUGUUGCAGUUUACAUUAUUAAUAGGUUACCAUCAUCUAUAAUUGGAACAUCUCCUUGUAGAAUUUGCAUAACAGAAAGCCUUUCUUAAAUCCCAUGAUAGUAUUAAGUUGCUUAUGUUAUGCUAAAUUAGUUCAACAAUUUGAUAAAUUAAAGUCUAGAACCAAAACUACUAUGUUUUUAGUUUUUUCUGAAGUUCAAACAGGUUAUGUUUUGUAUGAUCUUACUACUCAUUCUUUCAUUGUUAGUAGGGAUGUGGUGUUUAAAGAAUCUAAAUUUCCCUUUAAAGCUUAUCCUGACACUACUAUAUUACUAUUUCUUGAGUCAGAACUAUAUCUCAACAUUUGUUUUAAACUAACUCAGACAAUUCUGAGUUUGUGCAGAAUUUUGAGACUAAUACAUUACAUGGUUCACCUACUAAUAAACCUGAUCAUCAAGACUUGACUCAAGUCUAAGAUAUAAUCCAAGGUCAUGAUGUUCAUGACAUACCACAAGAACCUCCUCCAGUAGCAAAUACUGUUCUCCCUACUAGGAAAUAAGCAACCACUAAUAUGGUGAAAGAUUUCAUCUCUUUGAACAUACAUGACACUCCCUAUUAUAUCUCCAACUAUGUAUCCUAUGACAAAAUAUCUCCUUAUUAUCAGUCUUACUAUCUGCCUUUUCUUUUAUAGCAGAACCUAAUACAUAUACUGAUAUCGUACAAGAUCCCAGAUGGAUUGAAGGGAUGGAGGCAAAAAUACAAGCUCUUCAAGGCAAUCAUACGUGAGAUGUUGUUAGCUUGCUAAUUGGUAAAAACAAUAGGGGUUGAUGGGUUUAUAAAAUUAAAUCAACUGCAUCAAGUGAAAUAGAAAGGUUUAAAACUAGGCUUGUUGCAAAGGGAUAUAGCCAGCAAUAAGGAAUUGAUUAUCAAGAGACAUUAUAUCCUAUUAUCAAGAUGAUCACAAUAACAACCAAUCCUUAAAAUUGCAGCAUCAAAGUAGUGGUAUCUAUCAAAUGUAUGUGUACAAUACUUUUCUAUAAGGAGAUCUCUUUGAUGAGAUAUACAUAUAAAUACCUAAAGGUCUUGUAAGCUAGGAGGAAAAUACCAGUCAGACUUGUCUGCAGAUUGCAAAAUCUCUUUAUGAUCUAAAGCAGGCUCUAAUAUAAUGGAAUGCCAAGCUAAAAGAAGCUACACUUAAACUGAAGUUUAGGAAAAGCCAAUAUGAUCAUGCCUUAUUCAUUAAGUCAACUAAGAAAGAAAUUAUGAUGGUUUUAGUAUAUAUGGAUGAUAUGCUUGUGACUAGUGAUAGCCUAGAGUUGAUUGAGAAAGCAAAAUUAUCUCUGAAAUAGGUUUUUAAAAUGGAAGAUCUAGAAAGUCUUAAGUACUUUUGUUGAAAAUAUGUCUCAGAAAUAAAGUAGGAAUAGAUAUUUCAGUAAUUUUUAAUUAUUAGAGUCCUAUGUGACUUAGGAAUUAGUUUUCCCUUUAUUAUUUGAAUAGAAAUUAGUUAUCCCGAUUUAAAUUGAAGUGUAGUUAGAAAUUUAGCUAUAAAUAUUAGUUUUGAGUUAUUAAUAAAAAAAUCCCUUUGACAAUACUAUUGUCGUAGUUUAUUUCUCUCCAACUUUUUCUCUGUUAUUUCUCCAAUUUCAAAGCUAAAAACCAACAAUUGGUAUCAAGAGCUAGUUUCUUGAGGGAUCUGUGAGAGAUGAAUUCUGAAAACAACUUUUCCCAAAUAGCUCCUCUUGUCUUUGAUGGUGAGAAUUACCAACUUUGGGCAGUAAGAAUGCAGACUUAUCUUGAGGCUUUAGAUCUUUGGGAGGCCGUGGAGGAGGAUUAUGAUGUUGUUCCGCUGUCCGAUAAUCCCACGGUGGACUAGAUCAAAAGUCAAAAGGAAAAGAAAAUCAGAAAAUCAAAAGCAAAAGUAACUUUGUUUGCUAGCGUUUCUCCAAUAAUUUUCAUGAGAAUUAUGGCCUUUAAAUUAGCAAAAGAGAUUUAGGAUUAUCUGAAGGAAGAAUAUACAAGAGAUCAAAGAAUACGAGGCAUGAAGGUGUUGAAUCUAAUCAGAAAAUUUGAAUUGCAAAAGAUGAAGGAACCUGAGACCGUUAAAGCUUCUUGGCAUUGUUAACAAGGCACAAGAGCAAAGGAGGCUUAUGAGGCAGGAUGGUAUGAUUGAAGGAGCUUUGGCAGCCAACCACAAGACUCAAAGCAAGGGUAAUAAUUCAAGAAAAAAUUACCUACCUUGCCAGUACUGUGGCAAAAUAGACCAUCCUUUAUUUGAAUGUUGGAAGAGACUAGAUGCAUAAUGCAAGAUUUGUAAUCAACUUGGCUAUGAAACCGUGAUUUGCGAAAAUAAAUCUAAAAAAUAUGAAGCAGAUGCUUAAGUCACCAAAGAAGAAGAAGAAGAUCACUUAUUUGUGGCAAAGUAUUCUUUAACCAAGAAAUCUGAUUUUUGGAUGACUGAUAGUGGUUGUACAAACCACAUGACAUAUGACAAAACACUUUUUAAAGAGUUUCUGCCUUUGGAAAAUAAGAAAAUCAGAAUUGGGAAUGGUGACUAUAUUCCUGUAGAAGGAAAAGGGAAUGUUGCAAUUAAAACAAUUUCAGGUACAAAAAUAAUUUCAAAUAUCCUUUACGUGCCCGAUAUUGAUAAACGUUUGUUAAGUUUUGGUCAGCUAAUGGAAGAAGGAUUAAAACUAUUGUUUGGAAAUAACUAUUGUUGAAUCUUUGAUUCCACUAAUCUUGAGAUUUUAUAAAUUGAUAUGAGAGACAAAAGUUUCUUAUUUAAUCCAACAGAAGAUGCACAUAAGUCAUGCAAGAACAAAGACGAAUUGGCAAAUUUAUUCAAGAGGUCAAAUUCAGCCGAAGCCGAGAUAAUUUCUGAUCCAAGGAGGAGUGUUGAAAAUAUAUCUCAGAAAUAAAGUAGGAAUAGAUAUUUUAGUACUUUUUAAUUAUUAGAGUCCUAUAUAACUUAGGAAUUAGUUGUCCCUUUAUUAUUUGAAUAGGAAUUAGUUAUCCCAA